GCAUGUUAUUUGACGCAUGAAGCUGAUGCAUGAAGCUGAGGCAUGUUAUUUGACGCAUGAAACUGACGCAUGAAGCUGAGGCAUGUUAUUUGACGCAUGAAGCUGAGGCAUGUUAUUUGACGCAUGAAGCUGAUGCAUGUAGCUGAGGCAUGUUAUUUGACGCAUGAAGCUGAUGCAUGUAGCUGAGGCAUGUUAUUUGACGCAUGAAGCUGAUGCAUGUAGCUGAGGCAGGGCUACAGCAAUAACCACAGGAAGAAAGAACCACACUUAAAGGUAAACACAAGUUACUGUAGAUGCAUUGCGGACAUUUGUCCCAUCCCAGGUUCUCGGGGGAAAUAUGGAGCCGGACUUUCCCACUUCAAAGUGCAAAUAAGAGCAACUGGGAGGAGGGGGAGGAAUGAUUGGUGGGGUUGUGGGUGGGGCAAUGUGGCUGGCAAGAUGGGGAUGGGGCACCUGGAAAAACAUCUUUUAAGUAAUUGCAUGGGAAGAAACAGGCGGUUGCCUCAUCUUUCGGUCUUGCUUUCUCUGUCUCUUCUCCCCACACAAACACAACAGCUGGAUGCUGCUGAUUCAGUCUCUUGAGCAGGAAAUUGCACUUCCUGGCAAGCUGCACUUGAAAUCUGGACGGACAGUUAGAAAUAGACUAUCGUGGGUUAGUAAUCACGCACACACACACACACACACACACACACACACACACACACACACACACACACACACACACACACACACACGCGCACUCCUUCCUCUAUGCUGUUCACACAUUAAAUCUAUGUGUCCAUAUCUUCCCAGUGAUAUCAAGCAUGUAAACAAACUCCACCGGUGUUUACAACACUGAACAACCUCCACACACGCAUGCACACGCACACUGUACACCCACUCACCAAUGCCUGCACAUUCCUCCUGGACACACACAUUAGAGAAAAUGAAUGAUUCAGUAUUAAACGCACACACAUACUUGCCUUGCAAGAAAACAUGAAAAAGCUCAUAUAAACUAUAAACUCCAAAUACAGGUAUCAAAAUGGUUUGUUUCAUUGCUAAAAACAACUCACAAACAAUCAGCUUUAUGUGAGGUUUACACAAAUUCAAUUAGCAGAGAAACUCUUAUCAUUCUCCUUAAUCCUUUGCUUCCCAGACCUCCUGCUUCUUUAGUUAAUCUCCAAAUGGUUGAAUGGAUUUAAGAGCAGAAGCAGGUGACACGCUUUUUCACCUCUCCGUCCUCCUCUGGCUUUCUCCCUCCUUCUUUCUCCCUCCUCCACCUAAAAGAAGGUGUCCCUUCAAUGUGACCUUCACCAGGAAGCACUAAAUCCCCAGAGGCCCCUUGUCACAACAGUCAGCCAAAACAUGAAUGAGCAUGCGUGUGUUUGUGCGUGCACGUGCGUGAGCCUCCGCAAAAAAAGAAGGUGUGUACUUUGUGUGACUCUGCCCCCACGGGGGGGCGUCGCAAGGGAAGUGGGUCUUUGUUAAGGAGACGCCCCGAAUAGGAAACAAACGCACAGCCAGGAGCAGGUCCGUACUGGCCCUCUCACUUCAUGUACACAAACACACAGCCCCAGUGCUGCUACUGCCAUCGCACGCUACGCCAACAAACACACAACAAAAAUGAACCGAGAGAGACGAGCGUCUUUGGGGGAAUUGACUUCAGCACCACAACAGUCGUAACAAAGGAGGGAUUACAAGGUUUCAUUUAUCGAAUUACUCGUGAGGAAAGAAGUACGAAAUAUAUGGAAACGUUUUACUACAAUGUGCAGUUAAACACACGUAUACACACGAGUUUCAGAAGACCGUGUCUGUCCUUCAUCCAUUCUUUCUGUCUAGAAUUCUUUCUCUCACUUUUUCACUCUCCCACACGCCCAAACGUCCAACAAACAAACUGCAGUUCUGACCCAAUUCUCUGCUUCUUUCUGUAAUCCAUGUAUGAAUUAUUUAUUGACUCUGCAUGUUUGCACACACACACACACACACACACACACACACACACACACAAAAACUCCUCCAUCAUAUUUCUUGAAAAUAAGAAUCAAAUAAAUUCGAGUUCAUUCAUCAGCUGUGCAUGAAUCAAAACUGCCACCUAAUGCUUUUUGGCACAAAGAGAAAAAGUAAUUACAGCAGGGAAACCGCAGGUCUUUGUCUCCAAACAGAUAGAUUUGAUAAAAAUGUUUGCAGAGGGUUCUGGUUGCCCAACAGAAAGCACAAAUCCCAUCUUCACAACACUACGUUUUUUAUCUUACAAUCACCCUCCUCUCGUCCGCUUUCCUGUGUCAAGUAGAAUAUGCGUAAUUUAAAACACACCAAGAGGUGUUGCAUCAACUGUGCCAGAUGCACAAGGCCAUCAGUCUUUCUUGAGGAGGAGCUGGAGUUUAAGCCGGCUGGAUUGCAUAAGAAAGGCCUGCUGGGUCCCUCACAGAGGGACUCAAGCAGCAGGCGGAUCGGAGGAUAUCUGACACAAUUAAACCCUAAAGUAAGAACGAUGACAUCCAAGUCUAUUUAGGUUCUACAAGAAGCACAAAUGUGAACGGAAGGACUUUGGGACUGAAUAAAUACAGGUGAGUGAGUGCGUAUGCGUCCUGCUGAGACUUCUGGGAUCUCUCGUUUUGUCUGCCAAAGUUAUUGUCCCGGGGAGACCCAGGCCGCCUCGACCACAAAUCACUGCACUCUGGAGACACACACACACAUAGCUGUUCAUAAUGAAACCCCGUCAGCAGGCUUGAUAGAGCACGUCCCAGAGUAAUACCACUACUCUUUAUUGGUCAAAACAGCAGUGAGGGCUGAAGCCAGCUGAAUGCAGGCAGGUCCGCGCCUACAGGCGCGGCUUUAUAGAAUCACUUUGGAGGUAUUUCCCAUGUAAACAAAGAGAGGAAAGGCGGGAUAAAGGGAGUACUGAUUUACAUGUUUUCUGUUUUCUAUUACUAUUCCCCUCCAGGCAAUAAAGUUGAACGGUAUGUGCAUUUCAGCUGCUCCAGGUAUCCUUGGAUGAGAAUGUCCUCACACUGAAAAUGUAACAGCGCCCGGACCAUUACACAUUACGUUUAACAUUACGUUUGUCCAGCUCCAAUAUACUGUAUUAUUUUUACAAUUCAGUGUAACUAAAGUUGGCCAUGAUUAUAAUUGCCGUCUAUGGGGGAGAAACCGUUAGCGGAGGGACAUCAACAAUCAGCAAUUAUUUUGAAUUAAAGCCAAAAAUGAUUGUGUACUAGUUUCAAAAGUGUCCACAUGUGAUACGUUGCUUUCUCUUUCUCUCACAGUAAACUGUCAUCAUCCCCCGUUUAAUCCCUUUGUUGAUUAUUAAAGCAUCGCUAAGCUAAGUUGUGCUAGCAUUAGCUGAUGGAGGCAGCUUCCUUCAUGCUUUGCAGCGGGCCGCCAUGGUGGGUCAGCGACUGAACCUGAGCUAACCACGGCUAACCCAACAUGCAACAUGCCUUCAAACUGCACACAGAUCAUCCAUCCUUCAGUCCGUCUGUUCCUGGACCAAACUAUUAAUGGAGACUUCUUGAACACGUUUAGUUUUCAACAUUUAGUUUUCAAGGACGUUGAACCGAGUGUUGUGAAUUUCUUCGGAGAUCGACGGGAACCCCUUUCAAUCGCACUGGUCCUUUCUUUACACUUCCCUCCUCUCCUCAUUAUCCACCUCUCUCCUUCACUUAAUUCUUUCCUCUUUGUCCACAAAUGGCGGCACGCUCCCGCUUCAAACGCUGAGUCGGCACAAGUGCUCCUUCACAGUUCUGCAACUCCAGCGCUACACCAGCUGUUCGGCCAGCGCUCUUCACAUAGCUCACCACUUCAUUAGUAGCCACACAAUAGCGUCAAGGACUCCAGGACGCACAAUCACACACACACACCAUCUAUAUCCCCUUAGAGAAGCCGCUUAGAGCAAAGAGGAUGUUUUUGUGCUCCUGUGCAAAUGAACAAAAACAUUGAGUCACGUCUUUUCUUAUUCUUAAACGCUUCCUGGUUCAAAAAAGCAAGGCCUUGUAAGGCCACAGCACACAGUCGCACACGCAUCCUGCUUUUUGUCCUGCACGGGGCGAAAGAAAAAACAUGCCGCUAACAAGCAACAAUUGUAGGCCACAUGAGACGAUUAUGAUGACGGUAAAAGCUGGCAUCUGCUAAAAAACAUCCCAAAAGAAGGUACGCAAAAACAGCUCCACGUUCAUAUUUGUGCACACAUACACACAAAUAGUACAGAGAGCACCCACACAAACAUGCACAGCGACACACUUUCACACACAAAGACACACACGUAAACAUAUGCCAACUGUACCUUGCCUGGAGCUCACUGUGACCCGGCCUCUGCACUGUGCAACUCUAAAAAGCACAUUUUGAGUGAUGUCAUGCUUUUGGCAGCGUUCUGCUGAUGCACAAGGUGCCACACAGACAUCAGACAGCCGACACACACACAUUGCACACACAAACAUGUACGCUGGCACAGGAGACAAAGAACACACAGAUGAACCUAAUGUGAUGUACCGCUGAUGUACCAGCUGACGCCAACAACAACUUCAAACGAGAAACCACAAGAAAAAAACCACACACUGGAAGCCGUGCCGUGACCUGAUGAGAUGCAGCCGGGGUUCAACAUCAAUGAGCUGAAGCAUUGUCAGUAUCCGCCUAAUAACUUCACACUCGUACGACACUUUCAGAUUCACAAGGGACACACAAGGGGAUGAAACUGCAGCAAAAUCGAUGUAGCUAAAGUAAAGAUGUUUUUUAUUACCUGGGUUCUUAUUUCCUUUCAAAACAUGGCAAGGAAAAACUACACAUACUUACACACGUGCAUAACACGUAUGUGAAGAACACACCGGAUGCAUCGAGCUGAACAAUUUCCAACGUCCACCCCGUUGAUUGAAUGUGAAUCUAACGAACGAUUUAGCCACGCUACCAAAACAGCUACUAUUACAAACAAAACAAACGCGGGACAUAAUUUAUAAGUAGUUGUUGAGUGGUCGGGCACAGCCAGAGCCCAAAAAGGAAGCGAAGUAGAGCCAGAUGACACGGAGCCAGAACCAGACCAGAUCCAUUGCCGGUCACAGCUGAAUGGCUCCUUCCAAAGCGUCCUGUACUCAGACAUUCCCCAAAUGCCGCAAUGUUUUUACACGAACAGACAUCAUUCAAAUGUUUAAAAAAAGCUGCACUACACAGACUGAUGCUAAUACAUUAACCGCUAAAAUAAGCAGCCAACUGACGAGAUCUGCCCACUAGCUGCUGAUCGUGGGACGCAGUCAGUGACGUUUAGCUGUGAGGUGAUGUGUGUCAAGCGUGGUAUGACCGGUUGUCUCUCUCUCUCACACACACACACACACAGACUGCUGAGCAACACAGUUCAUGUUCAGUUCUGAACACAGCAAGCAUAGAUAUGUGAAAAAGAAGUAAAAAACAUAUUGAUGGCUGCCUUAAAGAAGUCACAGUCCAAAUCAUGAACACCUCCGGCCUCUCACAGUGUCACAGGAAGACGCACACAUAUAAAUGUCUUUUUUUCGCUACGGUAAAGACGUCUUUUGAACAUUGUGUCUCUCAGACACAUUAGCUCUCACUAAGCAGUUCCACGCAGACUUUGUGUUUACAAUGAAGGAAAGAGGAGAUCUCCAGAAUUGAACAGAAAUCCAUAUAUGAGCAUGUUUAGACUGGACAGCCAAAGAUGGCCUAACUAGUCUGAGAGCUGUUUGAGUGUGUGUGUGUGUGUGUGUGUGUGUGUGUGUGUGUCUGUGCGCGUGUGUGCAUCUGCAUGCGUGUAUGUGCGUUGACUGCUGUCCCUGUCCAUCAGAGGGUCAUAUGAGGAGCAGAUUAGGGUUUCUAACCGCAAACCCCCGUCGCCACGGCCCGAUGUCACCGGGAAGGGGUCAUCGCGUUCCUCAGCACCACCGGCUCACCGCUCCUUAUCUCGCUGCCAUGCAAGAGUGCACACAACACACACACACACACACACACAAAACCACAUCUAAAUCAGGACGUUGUGGUGCAGCUCGUCUCACGUUUCCUUCAUCUGCAUCUGCAGCCUCGUCACCUUAUUCCACCGGGGAACCUCUGAAUGUGCCUCUCGGUUGUGUGUACCUCACAUUUAAUGGAAAGCUGUCCGGUGCCGCGCAUGCUGGUAUAAAAAAAUAAUAAGAUGGACCAUCAGCACAAAACGAGAAGAUGCGCAUUAAAACAAAAGAGGAGCAGCAAAUCCACGAAUUUGAAAGGAUGGAACCAAGUAAUGUGUGGUAGAACUUUCUGUUGAUCUCCAAUUCCAAUUUUCUCUUAAUAUCCUUUGAUAAAACUUGAAGCGUAAGCUUAACCCAACCUCUAAUUAGGAUUUCCAUGACGUACGUUGGAAUAUUUGGUUGAAAUCGACCCAACAGUAAUCAAAUUUGUUCCUACUGGUAGCGGUCUGAAUCUACCUCUGUGGGACCGAGUCUCCUUCUCGUUUCCAUUUCUCUUUAAUGUCGACUGUUGUUCGUGACCUGGCACGUAAGGCCUUCAUUUAAAAAGCAUAAAAAGGCAGAAGCGAUGUCAUCCAACCAUAGUUUUGAAUUUGAAAAUGAAUGUACAUCCGUUUCAGUUGGACCAGCUGUCACUUUGAGCCGGUUAGGGGCGGCAUUUACGACACAUCAUACAAACCAGCCCUUAAAACUGGACUCCCCCAACCCCUCACCCAACCCUCCCCCCUCCCUUCUAUUAAACCUGUGGCUGCACGAAACCUCAACUGGGGUAAAACUUGUGGGAACAAAAAGAAAAUCACAACUUCAAAAUGUUGCCGGGGACUAAAGGCCUUCAUUACAGCCGGGACGAAAGCAAUAUUUAAAAGGAACUAUUGCUCAUCUGUAAUCCCAGUUAAGCCUGUAAAUAAACGUAAAGCACGAUCGCACUCCAAAGCGCUUCUCCAGCUCUCUGCAACAAAAGCCACAUCCUCUGUUACUGCCUUAUUUUCUUCCCAGUGUUUAGUGUCUAUUCUCGGAGGUGGUGUUUGGGCAUGUGACCCAAGCCGCCGCUCAGUCGAAUGUCCGGCUGCCUUUUCAUCUCAGGGUAUGCGUGUCUCCGAGUGGGUCACGCUCGACCCGAUCCACAGAGACGGGGGGGGGGGCAACGUUUUCUCAGUUCACAUCACCACGAGACUCCACCAAAACCCUCACUGUCGACCUUCCCUUUUAGCUCCAAGUGCAUGCUCAUUACAUGUUCAUCUAGCUCCGCUCGUCUCUCAACCUCCAUCCCAAUCAGCACCGGUUUGUUUGCAUCCGCUUUGUGAACGACAUCCCUCCCCCGAUGCCGCAUGCUGCCAGCGUCUUCUCUCCCGCUCUGUGUGCUCAUGGUUUAACCGGUGCUUUGGUGGACAUUUUGUUUCAUCUGUUUGAGACGUCACCGCACUGGGGUUUUCAGCGCGUUGCCAAGAGCGAGUCGCUAGUCUCUACCGUCUCCAGCCGGGAUGUGGGUUUAGCCGAGCGUGUGCCGCUGCCGCUGCGAGCCCGGCGUUUAGGUCUAGACUUUCCUAAUGAGAAGCGGCACCGGUGUGCAGCGCGCUGUCAGCUUAUGGGGAUAUACUGUACACCCAUUAAUCUGAGUUUAUGCAUUUCAAUGAGCAGAAAAACAUGCACGGACGCAGACUUGAGAAUAAUUCUUUCAUGUGUGUAACAUCUGGCUCGGAGCCACGUUGCACCUGCGGUUUGUGCUCGCCCUCAAGUCAAAGCCAAACUGUGGGCUGUGAUUUGAACAAGAACCGGUUACAAACUGGUUCUUAAGAAAAAAAUAUCUGACAAUAGAAAUGUAAAGCUAUUUAUGCUUCCAUACAUCCUGAACACAUCUGACAUAGUACAUUAAAUGACUUGACUAAUACAGUAAAUAGCGAUGAUUUAAUUGUAUAUUUCUCACUGCAUUAAUACUACUAAAGCGAACAUUGCAUUGCUUUUGCCCCUAAAGCCCCAUUCAGCUUAGUUACUGCACAUGGUUCAAUCUCCUGAUUGGACAGUAUCCCCCGAACAUCACUUCCACUCAAUAGCUAAGAGAGGUCCAACGUCUCAACGGUGCAACGAGAGUUAGGAAAUUAUUUUUGAGGAACCAGCUGUCUUUCAGAAUGUGCUGGUGGAUUCAGAAUAGCUGGUUGAAGCCAAUCCGAGGGAGGAAGAAGAGUUUUCGCUUCACGCGCCUGAAGAAGGUGGUGACGUUGACGCCAAUCAGGAAGCAACGGUUGAAAGAGAAGAGGAGAGAAGGAAAGCUCUCCAGCUGAUCGGCUGCAGCUGCAGUCCUCACUGAGAAAACCCGCUGCUGGUUUAUAAAACCCCGAAUGGUUUAGAGACAAAAUACAUGUCUGACCUGCUGCUGCCUCACGAACCCGCCGACCUGAGCGGAGGCUCUCAGCUGCUUCAAAUUAAGACCGAGGACUUCGCUGAGGACAACGUUGAUCAAUUUCCUGCAUUUUACUACUGUGUUUUAGUACUGCGACUGGUAUUAUCUUUUGAGCCUGUUUAAAAUGAUUGUUUUUAAUGUUCCAAUAAAUGUUCUUUAUAGUUUUUAAAUUUCAUUUUCUUUCGCCUCAUGUUUUGAUGCUUUAAAGGACGUGAUGUGAAGCCUCGGGGUUGAAAUGUGCUGUACAAAGAAAAGGGCCUACGAGUAAAGACAGUGUGAACAAAAGGUAAUAAUACAGAAUAAAACGUGAUUGAAAUGUAAAACGGCCACAUUGCAAAGAGAUGAGGAUGAUGUAACAAGAAACAACAAAAGAACUUGGUUUUUAUAACUAGGUUAGAAAACUGUAUUUUCAGAUUAAACUAAACAUAAGAAGUGAAAGAGAGUGUUUUACUGGCUUCCAAAUAUAGCUGCGGGUUGUAUUUACAUGUAUCUACAUGUGUGUGUGUGUGUGUGUGUGUGUGUGUGUGUGUGUGUGUGUGUGUGUGUGUGCGUGCACGCACAUGUGUUUGUAAUAUGGCAGCAUAAAAGCAAAGCUUUACUACACAAGCCAACUCAUGUACGGCUCAUUAAAGCCUGAUAAUGUCAAACCAGAACUUAAACACAGCGCUGUGGACCUGCUGUCCACACACACAAACACACCCACGCACAAACAUAUCGACACACACACACAUACAGCUUUAAAGGCCACAGCUUACACAGUAGAACGAACUUGGUGAUCUCACACAAAACCACCUCGUAUAUAAGGACAGCUUGCAGCCUGCGGCAAAAUGUAUUCACACACACACACACGCACACACUCACGCACAAACAGACACACAUUUUCCUCUGGUUUGUUCCUGUCACCUGGAGGCUGAGGAGAACAACAAGACCUUUGGUUGUAGGCCAGCACGUCAAGAGUACAAAGACAAUGGCCACAGCGUGUAUGACUCACCAUGACACACACACACGCGCACACACACACACACACAACCUCCCUUGGGUUAGGCUUAGAAAAGAACAUUCCCUCAUUAUAGCAGCAUUUCAGAGUGCGAGCGCUGUGCUGUUACUAUGGCUCUGGCUGGCUGCGAGCCUGGACCUUCACACAGAGUCCUGUCACAAUUUAUCAUACUAACACACAGACCCGCAGCCUGGCACCGACAAUCACACACGCACGCGCACACUAACGCGGGCGGACAGGGAUGUCAAUACGGACGCUCGCACCCUUCAAAGUGAUAAAUAGACGAGGCGAUGGCGAAAAAAAUAUCAACUGCGGAAAUGAACACGUGGAAGGAAAAAGCUGGAAGUGUGGAGGGAGAGAUCCAGACCUCAAAGGCUGAUCAGGACGUGAAUUAUGCACUUUUGAUGAAAGAGCUGUAACUCGGUAACAUACUUUAGGAGCCUUUCAAAGCCCUGAAAGUGUCAGAAAGGAAUUUUUAUUUUAGUUUUGAGAGUUGACCAGCAGCCAGAAAGGAAAAAUGUGAAUUUGAACAUUGAGUUAUUUUUGGACCCCAAAAAAGUACAAGUACAAAAAUAAUCUAAGCUCAAAGGUAUUUGCUGGCUUUCCUAGUGUUCAAACACAUCUCACAACCUUCACGCUGUUGGAUUUACAGCUGCAAGCUGUAGUGUCCCUGCUGUAAACGACCAUGUGUUCUUUUUUAGCCACAGGUUGCUGUGGUUACUGACCUUGUUGUAAAAAGGUGAGGAUGAUCGGUUCUCUGACCUCUUUAUUUGAUUGUUUGUAGACACCCUGAGUUAGAGCUCGGUAAGUUCAUAGAAUAAAAUAAAAUAAAAAUAGAUUCAUUACAUUUAUUUUCAGUAUUUAUUUAAUUAGAAAUGGAUUUUCCUCCUCCAACAAAAACACUAAACAAAGCCAAUACAAGGAGUAACAGAAGGACAGGAGGGGUCAAACUGAAAAGACAGUAUGGGCUGGAUUUUAUCAUCAUCAUUGCUGGGAGUCAAUAUGAAGAAUGAGAAGCUGUGCAAUAAGUGGCUGUGCACGGUGGGUCAGAGUGAGGCCAACUGCCUUGUUAGUCCCGCCUUAUCUGGAGUGGUGCAACACACACACACACACACACACACACAGCACGCAAUUCUCCAACCAAAAAGUCAAGUCCUCGUCUGCCUCAAAUCCCUCAUGCAUUUGGUAUGACGGCAUGAUGUAUGCUGCUGGGACGUCUCAUUGGCUCACAUCUCAGCAUGCGCGUGUGUGCGUGUGUUUGUGUGUGUGUGUGCGCUUAUUCCCGUAAAAGUUGAGAGGGGAGUAAAUGGUAUCAUGUUAAGUUGGCGUGUGGAUGUCUUUUCUUCUUAGCAUUAGCUGCCAGUAAAUACUUCAGAUGUAAACGCGUGUGCGUUUCCAUAAAGCACGAGGAAACGCACGGUGAUUCCAAACUUUCCAGUCAGAGUUACUGAGCUCCUGGCAGGCAGAGUAGGCAGACACACAGUCAUCCUGCCGGUAUACUGCCAAGCCUGACAUCUGUAUGCCGUUAGACACACGUAUGCAAACAAACACACACACACACAGUUUAAAAGGCAUUCGAUCACAAAACACCACACUGACACCUCCACAUGCUCGGCUGGGUGAGGAGAGAGAUUUAUUACUCAAACCACUCGCACAACUUCAUGGACCGAACUGACUGCAAUGGCUGAAAAGAUGGAAGCAUACUUCAGUGAACCCUUCACGCAUACGUCAAGUGGAUUUGGAAUUCUCGAAAAGAGGCAACUUCCGAGUCAAGAGCUUGAGAUAAAUUUAGAACAAUGUAUGAUAUAAAAGCUGUCAAUCUGAAAAUGUGUUUCCGCUGCCACCCUUUCUCAUCAACAAUCAACAAGUCUAAUUCCCCACCACUGGAAAUGUACCUGCACACACACACACACACACACACACACACACACAGUUGUGAUCCCUCAGAAUGCUGCUCUUGCAGCAGCAGUGACGGUGCGACUGUGUUGGCCUUUGAAGUCAGGAGUCAGUAAACCUCUGGGAGAUUGGCUUCACCCCCAUCUCCACCCCUCCGUCAGCAAAUGAAGAGCAGCUUCCCAAAAAGGCCUCAUUAGAAAGUCGAGAGUGGGGACCUUCUGGUUAUAAUGAUCUAUUCAAAAAGCCUCGGGGCCUUUGUGUCAAGUUAAGUCCAGAGUGUUUCAUCUUCUGGAAAAUACUCGCUCAUUUCGAAAGCAUCAGUCAUUCGUACGUGCCUUUAGAAAAGCUUUCCAUCUCUUGUACUCUCUUCUUUUGCCCAGUAACAGAGCACUGUUUGGGAUUAGGACUCUGGGUUUUAGCGGGGGAGGUAUUCAGACUUAAAAGAGUGGAAUCGAGGGAGUCCAUCAUACUUAGAGAGAAAGUAACUAGACUUGACAUUUUUGGGAGGAAAAAAAAAUUCACAGAUUUGAAUUAAAACACCUUUUUUCUUCUAGCUGCUCACAGUCAAACAUGUUCACUCAGAAAAAGACAGAAAUCAUUGUCAUCAAAUCCACAUUCCCCUGAUUCAGCCUCCAUGACGGAUACUUUGGCGACUUGCCUUGCCAGGGUUGUGAAUCAUAACACUCCUCACCUGCUUUGCCCCUUUUACACCCCCGCAUGCCAGAAAGCGAGCCACGUGAUCCCCAUAUCUUUCUAUGAUGCACCCGGGAAGAGUGGAAAUCGGAUUGGAUGUAGCGCCAUGCGUGUGUAGAAAUAUUGUGGAGCGUGUGUGAGUCUAUGAAAGUUAGUUCGAAAGUUGACCUCACGAUGAUGCCAAAGUAAACCCAUCUAUAACUUAGAGCUGUGGGAGCGCCUUUAUCAUCAUCAACAACAACAACAACAACACAGUCCCAGCGCGGGUCCCCGAGGACCCGAACGCUAAAAGCCCCUCUGGUUCCCACGAGUGCACGGCUCACGCACUGACUCACUGGAUUGUUCUAUCGUGAAACUCUCUACAAUGUUGCUACAAAUAAACCCAGUUAAAAACAAACAAGUUUAAAUCACAAGGUUACCAUGAUGAAAUUACAGUAUAAUUACGCACACGGGCCACAUCAACGCAGUGAACGUUGUUGAAGUUGGUCCCGUCACUCCGUUGCUCAGAUGAAUGCUUCAGAACUCAGACCUUUAAUCAAGAUACGAUCAGAAAGUCUGAGCAUGGGAUUGUAUUGUAAUUGUAGCUAAAUUUACCUUCCAGUUUGUUGACGUUUUAAACGCACUGGGACCUUUACUCAGUAAUAAGUCGAGUAUAAAUCCCUAAAGUCUGUGUCUUGAUAACAUACAGCAUGUUGUGUUUCUGUAUGCAUUGUUCAUAAAUCAGCUUAAGAAAACAAGAUGAAAAAGCAAUGUCUUAAUUACGUUUAAUGUGAAAAGAUAAGAAAAACGGGGGAAAACGUUGGGACAGGCCUCUAUCUACAAAAUUCCCCUUUCUUUUUCUGUUCUCUCUCCUGUGACUCCCCUCCACCCCGCGGGAAAAUAAAGGCAGCAUGAGCGAAGGCCAGAAAUACUACGAAAAGAACGCACGACAAUACAGAACGGGGGGAAGAUGGAGGCACACAAAGUCAGAGUGGAUGGCGUGUGCAGGUGAUGUGGCCACAGCUGUACAACAAACGGCCUUUGAUUCACCCGCAGCUCAAACACAUCACCUCACUGAUUAAAGUAUCAAAGUACCACAUCGUAGCUUUCAUGGGGCACUGACACACACACACACACACACGCACAAUAACAUUCUUGCGGUGGAGAGUGAUCUCCCAGAUAUUUAUACCAGCAUCAUAAGAGGAAAAAGGUGCUUUGUCCUUUCCUGUAAACAGAUAAAUAUUCUCAUCACACACACAAAACUAGCCAUUUAGUUUUGGAUCAGACAGUUACUCUCGUCUCUGGUGUUUCUCCCCCCUGGGGGGCCUGUACCUGACAGGGGGGAGAAGAAGAGGGCGGGUGAGAGAGGACAAAGGUGCCGUCAGGGCGGUCUGAAGCUAUGUUCCUUAUACGUGUUUCCAGAAAGGCAAAACAGGGGAGGGAGAAGCGAUGUUUCCAUCCAACUGUCGAGGGAAUUUUGAGUAAACUCCCCGAAAAAUAUUGAGAAAACAAAAAUGCUGAAAUUCUUCUUUCCGAACAGCUGAGCUUAAGUGAAUAAACAGGCUUCCUGGUGGAAAAAAAAAGACAUCCACGGGGAAGACUUGACAAGCUGCUGCUGUCUUUUGCCAUCAGAAGGUUUUGCGCAUAUCACAUUCGUCCACCAAUGACCAAAGCAGGGAAAAAUAGAUGAAAUUAUAAUGGAUCUUGCACGGAUCACUAUACAGGCAGAUUAGGAAACUCACCCGUGCAAAAGCGAUUUGACAUUACUAGGAGGUUUUCUGAUGGACAACAUUUCUGGACUCUCAAUGGAGCUGAACAACAAGACAGAUUGUGCCUAACGUGUCAUUUUAAAAGGAAUCCACUUAAGUCUGAAGACUGUUUUGCCUGAUUGGUUGGAUGGGAUCUUAAUUGUAGCCUUGCUUUAAGUCGGCAGAGAAGGGGAAAUGUCUCUGAUGCCUUUCCAAGACAUCAGGAGACGAGACAAAGAAAGACAAAAAAAAAGCCCCCUGUCAGUGGAUUCUACGGCUCUCGGCUCGGCUCGGCUCUAACUACCGGUUAAAGUUACCCUCGUCUGUCUGGUGUCGGCGUACGUCUGUCUCACAGCGGCGGGAUCCAGCUCUCUGUCUGUAGCCAUGGAAACCACCACGAUGCAACGCUGGGAAUUAUAGAAAAGCGGCGGUGUAUUUUACGAAUGCCACACAUGCACAGAAAACCGCCCGUCCCUGAUCAAAGAGGGAAGCCACGCAAUUUGUCUCAAAGGCUCAGGUAGUAUCGCCUCCCCGGGUCUUCUUGUAGUGAAAGGUAAACUUUUCACGGCAGGCGAGUCGAGCAGCACACUCACGUCCGGUGGAGCCCCGCUUCACACCCGCACGGCUGUGGGCUAAAUAAGAAAUCAAACGGUUGGCAAACGUGACCUAUUUACUUGACACCUGUUUACUCCCCUCGCCCCGUCUCGCCCUGCCUUUCACAGCCCAGCGGCCUUCUGGUAACGAGCCCGCCGCAUCGGCUACGGAUACUUAGCGCUAGAAUUACGGGCCCUCGGUAGCCUGAGAACCGGUCAAGUCGUGUCCGAAAUGUCAUCACCUCAUUAUUUUAUCAUUAGUCAUUUGCGUGGAAUUGUCAUCAAUAUCAUAGAAAUUCUUGGACGUUUGUGCCCAAAUGUGAAAAAAAAAAAGAACCCCCAGGCAUUCUUAAGGUAUCGUGUUCACGAGAAUGGGCCGGAUGAAUACGUCCGAAAACAUAAUCCCUUGGGGCACAGCUGUCACUGGCAUAAUAAAACCUCUUCCCGGGAACUCUAGGCCGUAAAAGUGAAGCCAACCCCUUCAUGAAUUAGCAGUCCUAGCAUGUACGCGUGCUAUGCACAUUUGAAUCCGCCCUCAUGUCUCCUCCCUGUAUGGCGCUGUAGACUACCUCACAGAGCAGAAAUGCUGUGGAAGCGAGGGGGGGGGAGGAGGGGGGAGGGGGUGGCAAGACCACGGUAAUAUACAGACAGUCUAAAGUGUAGGCCGCCCGCGUGGAGAGAGACACGGAUCAUUUGCAUUCAGGUCCGCUUGGCUGAGCACAGAGGACGGAUAACGGGAAAGACGAGAGAGGCGGUGAAGACAGCGAAGACAAAAGAUUGAGAGGAAAGAGAGAAACCCUCGGUGGUACCGAGCGGCGCCCUCCAACAGUGAAGUGAAGGAUCGCCAUCUUUAGCGAUGCGUGCCCUCAAAAGAGCGGCAAGCACAGCGCAGCACGCGCGACACAUAUGAUGCAUGAGCAGAUAUGAGAAAUGCAUACACGGUUUUCUGUGGAAUUAUCUCUGGUUACACUGAACUCCACCUUGAGCAGCUACACACACACACACACACACACACACACAAUCACACACAAUCACACACAAUCACACACACACACAGCCACUAGUGGUCAGACUGGCAGGCAGGAGGGAAGCUUGAGUGUGUUUGGAUCUGACCAGUACACCGUACACUGGAUGCCAACAAUCCACCACACACACACACACACACACACACACAUACAGAAAAACACACUCAUACCACUGGUUUGUACAACCACAGGCUCCGGGUGUGUGCGUGCAUACAUGUGAGUCUACAAGCGCCUCGCAUACAUGCUCAAGUGAGUGUGACCUUGUUUUUGUGUGUGUGUGUGUGUGUGUGUGUGUGUGUGUGUGUGUGUGUGUGUGUGUGUGUGUGUGUGAGCCACCGUGUUACAGUGCCCUCUAAGUGUCCGUGUGGGAGCCGGUGUUUACCGGCCGAGAUAAAGGCCGUCGCUGCUCUCUCACCGCCGUCCUGCUGCACUUCCUCCUCGUCCAACCGGAAAGAAGCAGAGACCCACUCAAGCUUCAGCAAUGUCACAGCGAUCGUAUCUUCCUAAUAAAACCUCUUGAAUGGAUUUAGAUUAAUCUGAACGAGGGGCGGGGGGCGGGGGGGGGGGGGAGGGAGCCAGAGAGGGCACACUGGUGAAAUAGGGUCAUUUUCUCCCCCCUCCGGGGGAGAAGCAACCUCCUCCGCAUCGCCUCCCACCUCACAUGUCGAUGUACUUACAGCUCUGCAUAAACCUUCACGCCGCGCCAAGAUGCUGGCUGGCAUAACAAACAGGAGAAAGUCCUGAAAUAGUCUCUUCCCCUGUUCCCGGCGCUGCACGGGAGGUAUUUCUGCGGUGGAGCGAAUUACUAACGUUGGAUCGAAUAAUCCACGUCUUUCUACUUUCUUUUCUCCGUUUUUUUUUUUUUUGCUGGAUUACUGUCAGUUCCUGUCGGCUGCCUUCCCUUUAUGCCUCAUUCCUCUCUUUAACUUGCAAUUUCUCUACCCCCCUCCCGCCCCUCCCCCCCAUUC
Long non-coding RNA from Gasterosteus aculeatus aculeatus (three-spined stickleback), 16215 nucleotides. Lineage: Eukaryota; Metazoa; Chordata; Actinopteri; Perciformes; Gasterosteidae. The record is from Ensembl.